AGAGUUUGAUCCUGGCUCAGAUUGAACGCUGGCGGCAGGCUUAACACAUGCAAGUCGAGCGGGGAAGGGUAGCUUGCUACCUGACCUAGCGGCGGACGGGUGAGUAAUGCUUAGGAAUCUGCCUAUUAGUGGGGGACAACAUUCCGAAAGGAAUGCUAAUACCGCAUACGCCCUACGGGGGAAAGCAGGGGAUCUUCGGACCUUGCGCUAAUAGAUGAGCCUAAGUCAGAUUAGCUAGUUGGUGGGGUAAAGGCCUACCAAGGCGACGAUCUGUAGCGGGUCUGAGAGGAUGAUCCGCCACACUGGGACUGAGACACGGCCCAGACUCCUACGGGAGGCAGCAGUGGGGAAUAUUGGACAAUGGGCGAAAGCCUGAUCCAGCCAUGCCGCGUGUGUGAAGAAGGCCUUUUGGUUGUAAAGCACUUUAAGCGAGGAGGAGGCUACUUGGAUUAAUACUCUAGGAUAGUGGACGUUACUCGCAGAAUAAGCACCGGCUAACUCUGUGCCAGCAGCCGCGGUAAUACAGAGGGUGCGAGCGUUAAUCGGAUUUACUGGGCGUAAAGCGUGCGUAGGCGGCUUUUUAAGUCGGAUGUGAAAUCCCUGAGCUUAACUUAGGAAUUGCAUUCGAUACUGGGAAGCUAGAGUAUGGGAGAGGAUGGUAGAAUUCCAGGUGUAGCGGUGAAAUGCGUAGAGAUCUGGAGGAAUACCGAUGGCGAAGGCAGCCAUCUGGCCUAAUACUGACGCUGAGGUACGA
RNAcentral lists this ribosomal RNA (754 nucleotides) under uncultured bacterium. RNAcentral describes it as "bacterial SSU rRNA". It matches the Rfam family "Bacterial small subunit ribosomal RNA", at positions 8 to 756 of the family's 1533-position model. The record is from RNAcentral.